GCGGUCCAUGAUGGCAGCAGGCGCGAAAUUGUCCCUCUUUUGAGAGGAGACAGUUAUGAAACGUGAGUAGAAGGGUCGAGUGUAAAAACCUUGACGUGAAGCAAUUGGAGGGCAAGUUUUGGUGCCAGCAGCCGCGGUAAUUCCAACUCCAAGAGUGUCUAUGGUGGAUGCUGCAGUUAAAGGGUCCGUAGUCGUAGAUGCAAUUAAAAGGUGGUGUUAAAAGCCAUUGAGUUUGUUGAGAGUAGCGGAACGGAUAGGGAGCAUGGUAUAGGUGGGCAAAGAAUGAAAUCUCAAGACCCCACCUGGACCAACGGAGGCGAAAGCGAUGCUCUUAGACGUAUCUGGGGAUCAAGGACGAAGGCUAGAGUAUCGAAAGUGAUUAGACACCGCUGUAGUUCUAGCAGUAAACUAUGCCGACAAUGCUGGGUGUUGCGAGAGCGAUGCUUGGUGUGGGAGAAAUCUUAGUUUUCGGGCUCUGGGGAUAGUACGCUCGCAAGGGUGAAACUUAAAGCGAAAUUGACGGAAGGACACUACCAGGAGUGGAUUGUGCUGCUUAAUUUAACUCAACGCGGGAAAACUUACCAGGGUCAAGUCUAUCGUAGAUUGGAGACAUGAGGUAGACAAGAGUGGUGCAUGGCCGUUGGAAAUUGAUGGGGGGACUUUUAGCUUAAGUGCUGGAACCAGUGAGAUCUUCUAGACAGGGGGUAUUUAAGGACAAGGAGGAAAAAGGCAAUAACAGGUUCCGGAUGCCCUUAAAUAUCCGGGGGCAGCAGCGCAAUACAAUUUCUCUUGAAAAAAACAAACAAAUUUAAAAAGAUAAGGAAUUAAUUUUUUUUAAAUAACCGUAU
RNAcentral lists this ribosomal RNA (848 nucleotides) under Ecytonucleospora hepatopenaei. RNAcentral's name for it is "SSU rRNA". It matches the Rfam family "Microsporidia small subunit ribosomal RNA", at positions 270 to 1123 of the family's 1311-position model. Lineage: Eukaryota; Fungi; Microsporidia; Enterocytozoonidae. The record is from RNAcentral.